ACCUGCCGAAUGAAUUAGCCCUGAAAAUGGAUGGCGCUAAAGCGGGUGGCCGACACCACACCGUGUGACCGAGUAUGGAUGUUGCAUGAGUAGGAGGGCGUGGCGGGCGUGGAGAAGCAUGGGCGCAAGCCCUUGUGGAACGGUCCGCUAGUGCAGAUCUUGGUGGUAGUAGCAAAUAUUCAAGCGAGAACCUUGAAGGGCGAAGCGGGGAAGGGUUCCACGCGAACAUUGAUUGGGCGUGGGUGAGUCGUUCCUAAGCCGAGUGGCAAUUGCUAAUUAGCGGCGAAAGGGGAGCGGGUUGAAAUUCCCGCACACGGAUGUGGAGAGCGGUGACGCGAAAUGGGGCGAACACGCUGGCGGUGGCGCUGGGCAGAGUUGUCUUUUCUGUUUGACUGAGUGUGUUGGCUGUGUGGAAUCCGCUUGUCGGGAGAAACACGCUAGCACGGGCAGAGCGCCGGGGCUUUUCCGGCGUCCAGCUCGCCACCGACGGCCCUUGAAACUUUGCCUGCUGAACAUUUUUUUUGAUCCACGCCGUGGCGUACCGAUAACCGCAUCAGGUCCCCGAGGUGAACAGCCUCUGCUCGAUAUGAACAAUGCAGGUAAGGGAAGUCGGCAAAUUGGACCCGUAACUUUGGGAAAAGGGUUGGCUCUAGUGCUGCGUGGGAGUGGUUGUCUGUGUGCGGGGAUGGGGUGCGAACCGGCUCUGGCGCGGCGGAAUCUGCCCUCGGGUGGAGGAGGCUGUUCUGGGCUGUUUGUGCACUGUUUGCGCUGCGGACGACGCCCACGGCAUGCAGCAGACUAGAACUGCAACGGGCAAAGGGAAUCCGACUGUUUAAUUAAAACAAAGCAUUGAGAAGG
This 858-nucleotide ribosomal RNA is filed under the name Peyssonnelia boudouresquei. RNAcentral describes it as "eukaryotic LSU rRNA". It matches the Rfam family "Eukaryotic large subunit ribosomal RNA", at positions 1292 to 2167 of the family's 3401-position model. Lineage: Eukaryota; Rhodophyta; Florideophyceae; Peyssonneliales; Peyssonneliaceae. The record is from RNAcentral.